CACGUAGUUAGCCGGUGCUUAUUCUUCCGGUACCGUCAUCCGCCACGGGUAUUAACCACGGCGUUUUCUUUCCGGACAAAAGUGCUUUACAACCCGAAGGCCUUCUUCACACGCGGCAUUGCUGGAUCAGGCUUUCGCCCAUUGUCCAAAAUUCCCCACUGCUGCCUCCCGUAGGAGUCUGGGCCGUGUCUCAGUCCCAGUGUGGCUGGUCGUCCUCUCAGACCAGCUACAGAUCGUCGCCUUGGUAGGCCUUUACCCCACCAACUAGCUAAUCUGCCAUCGGCCGCCCCUGUAGCGGGAGGUCCUAAGAUCCCCCUUUCUCCGUAGAGCGUAUGCGGUAUUAAUCCGGCUUUCGCCGGGCUAUCCCCCAUACAGGACACGUUCCGAUGUAUUACUCACCCGUUCGCCACUCGCCACCAGGGUUGCCCCCGUGCUGCCGUUCGACUUGCAUGUGUAAGGCAUGCCGCAGCGUUCAAUCUGAGCCAGGAUCAACUCU
RNAcentral lists this ribosomal RNA (496 nucleotides) under uncultured Burkholderia sp. Its description in RNAcentral is "partial 16S ribosomal RNA". The record is from RNAcentral. Lineage: Bacteria; Pseudomonadati; Pseudomonadota; Betaproteobacteria; Burkholderiales; Burkholderiaceae.